This 694-nucleotide ribosomal RNA is filed under the name uncultured Symbiodinium. Its description in RNAcentral is "partial Bacterial small subunit ribosomal RNA". It matches the Rfam family "Bacterial small subunit ribosomal RNA", at positions 1 to 690 of the family's 1533-position model. Lineage: Eukaryota; Dinophyceae; Suessiales; Symbiodiniaceae. The record is from RNAcentral.
UGAAGAGUUUGAUCAUGGCUCAGAUUGAACGCUGGCGGCAGGCCUAACACAUGCAAGUCGGGCGGUAACAGGGGAAGCUUGCUUCCUGCUGACGAGCGGCGGACGGGUGAGUAAUGCAUAGGAAUCUGCCUGAUAGUGGGGGAUAGCCCAGAGAAAUUUGGAUUAAUACCGCAUACGCCCUACGGGGGAAAGCUGGGGACCUUCGGGCCUAGCGCUAUCAGAUGAGCCUAUGUCGGAUUAGCUAGUUGGUGAGGUAACGGCUCACCAAGGCGACGAUCCGUAGCUGGUCUGAGAGGAUGAUCAGCCACACUGGGACUGAGACACGGCCCAGACUCCUACGGGAGGCAGCAGUGGGGAAUAUUGGACAAUGGGCGCAAGCCUGAUCCAGCCAUGCCGCGUGUGUGAAGAAGGCUUUCGGGUUGUAAAGCACUUUCAGCGAGGAGGAAAGGGGAGAUGCUAAUAUCAUCGCCCUGUGACGUUACUCGCAGAAGAAGCACCGGCUAACUCCGUGCCAGCAGCCGCGGUAAUACGUAGGUGGCAAGCGUUAUCCGGAAUUAUUGGGCGUAAAGCGCGCGUAGGCGGUUCGUUAAGUCUGAUGUGAAAGCCCCCGGCUCAACCGGGGAGGGUCAUUGGAAACUGGCGGACUUGAGUGCAGAAGAGGAGAGUGGAAUUCCAUGUGUAGCGGUGAAAUGCG